This 1185-nucleotide ribosomal RNA is filed under the name Enterococcus faecium. RNAcentral describes it as "bacterial SSU rRNA". It matches the Rfam family "Bacterial small subunit ribosomal RNA", at positions 25 to 1179 of the family's 1533-position model. Lineage: Bacteria; Bacillati; Bacillota; Bacilli; Lactobacillales; Enterococcaceae. The record is from RNAcentral.
CAUUAUUUGACCCAGGUGCGCAGCUAUCAUGCAGUCGUACGCUUCUUUUUCCACCGGAGCUUGCUCCACCGGAAAAAGAAGAGUGGCGAACGGGUGAGUAACACGUGGGUAACCUGCCCAUCAGAAGGGGAUAACACUUGGAAACAGGUGCUAAUACCGUAUAACAAUCGAAACCGCAUGGUUUUGAUUUGAAAGGCGCUUUCGGGUGUCGCUGAUGGAUGGACCCGCGGUGCAUUAGCUAGUUGGUGAGGUAACGGCUCACCAAGGCCACGAUGCAUAGCCGACCUGAGAGGGUGAUCGGCCACAUUGGGACUGAGACACGGCCCAAACUCCUACGGGAGGCAGCAGUAGGGAAUCUUCGGCAAUGGACGAAAGUCUGACCGAGCAACGCCGCGUGAGUGAAGAAGGUUUUCGGAUCGUAAAACUCUGUUGUUAGAGAAGAACAAGGAUGAGAGUAACUGUUCAUCCCUUGACGGUAUCUAACCAGAAAGCCACGGCUAACUACGUGCCAGCAGCCGCGGUAAUACGUAGGUGGCAAGCGUUGUCCGGAUUUAUUGGGCGUAAAGCGAGCGCAGGCGGUUUCUUAAGUCUGAUGUGAAAGCCCCCGGCUCAACCGGGGAGGGUCAUUGGAAACUGGGAGACUUGAGUGCAGAAGAGGAGAGUGGAAUUCCAUGUGUAGCGGUGAAAUGCGUAGAUAUAUGGAGGAACACCAGUGGCGAAGGCGGCUCUCUGGUCUGUAACUGACGCUGAGGCUCGAAAGCGUGGGGAGCAAACAGGAUUAGAUACCCUGGUAGUCCACGCCGUAAACGAUGAGUGCUAAGUGUUGGAGGGUUUCCGCCCUUCAGUGCUGCAGCUAACGCAUUAAGCACUCCGCCUGGGGAGUACGACCGCAAGGUUGAAACUCAAAGGAAUUGACGGGGGCCCGCACAAGCGGUGGAGCAUGUGGUUUAAUUCGAAGCAACGCGAAGAACCUUACCAGGUCUUGACAUCCUUUGACCACUCUAGAGAUAGAGCUUCCCCUUCGGGGGCAAAGUGACAGGUGGUGCAUGGGUUGUCGUCAGCUCGUGUCGUGAGAUGUUGGGGUUUAAGUCCCCGCACGAGCGCACCCCUUUAUUGUUACUGCAAUCAUCAGUUGGGGCACCUCUAGCAGACUGACGAUUGACAAACCCGGAGGAAGGGUGGGGG